Long non-coding RNA from Sarcophilus harrisii (Tasmanian devil), 755 nucleotides. RefSeq lists it as uncharacterized. NCBI's taxonomy places the organism in Eukaryota, Metazoa, Chordata, Mammalia, Dasyuromorphia, Dasyuridae. The record is from RefSeq and is a predicted model, not a curated record. The transcript has 3 exons.
AGGUGACUUCCUCUUCCCCCUACUGUCCUGAUUCUUCUCUGGUGGGAGCCACGGGUGUUUCCGAGGCCAGCUCCAGCUCUCUGCCCUUGCCCAAGAGGAGUGAGUUCUGGACACUGGAAUGGCUCCCAUGCUCCUGACAGCCAGGUCUCCAUGCUGAUGGAUGCCAUGCUGAGUACCCUGGGAAGUGGGUGCUGUCCCAGAUGAGAACACUGGGACAAGCAGUGGUUUGGGAGAAAAGGCCUGAAAACUGGAUAUUCUGUGGACUCACAAAGGAUGGUCUCUGAGUUUCCAGUCUGAGAGGAAUCUGAGAUUGGGAUGUCAGAUUAGAAAGGCAGCAGAGCAUGGAGGAUAAAAAUCCUCAGCAAUCAUGCAAAAUCAAUCUCAAAAUCACCUCAAAAUCAUCAAAUCAUCCAAAAUCAUCUCAAAAUCAUCUCAAGAUCAUCCAAAAGGAAACUCCCAGUAAAACAAUGAGUUGUGCAGGUGAUAAAUGUGUCCAAAGCAUCAGUUUGGAAGCAAAUAUUUUUGUAAGAGAUAAUAGUAUUUCUAGGAAAGGAUCUUCCCAAAUACAACACACACAGAAAGAGAGGCAGGAGAACUUCACUUAAUCUUCAGAACCAAGGAAAGGUCAUAAAAUUUGCUCUGGGGAAAUAGUUUCUACAUCUAAAUCAGAUUUUAUUGCAUAUCAUAGAAUCUAUUCUGGAAAGAAACCUGGAUUGCCUAAUGAAUUUGAGAAAGCCAUCUAAGCCCAACCAUCA